This 1902-nucleotide long non-coding RNA is filed under the name Podarcis lilfordi (Lilford's wall lizard). The record is from RNAcentral. Lineage: Eukaryota; Metazoa; Chordata; Lepidosauria; Squamata; Lacertidae.
ACAUAAGUCUGCUACAGCUAACAAAACAGAUAUGAAAACAGCAUCUUUGGACCUUGAAACUAGAAAUGAUGGUAUGGAAAUAUUAAUUGCUCCUGUUGAAUAAUCACAUGUGAUCUGAAACACUGGUGUGGGUGAAUGGAACCUCUGCUUGUACUUUAAGUCUGUAUAGAUCCAUUUCCCAAGUGAUGAUGAUGAUGAUGAUGAUGAUGAUUUUGUGGUUGACUCUGAUCCUAAAAUCAAUAGGACAUCUGUCUAAGUAAAGCCUGGGAUGCUACAACAUUAGAGAACUUCUCUGAAGGUACUUGAGAAGAGGUUGGCUAUACCCCUUUCUGAGAUGGCUUAGAUCUGAAAAGCCCAUCUCAAAUGAGUCAGACCCGCUGGUGUCCAUCUAGCUCAGCAAAUUCUGCACUGACAGUGACUCUCCAGAAUUUCAGUCCUGCCCGCAGAUGCCAGGGAUUGAACCUGUGAUCUUUUGCAUGCAAGCAGAUGCUCUGCCACUGCCUUUCCCCCAAAGGUGUUUUCUUCCUCUGCUUGUUCAAGAAGGCUUGCAGCAGCUUAGCACCAACAUUUAAGAAUCAUGAACUCACUCCUAGGACUGCCAAGCCAAAUGUAGUUAAAUGAUUACUGGACCCAAGGCAAAAGGGGGUUGGCAUUAGGCUAGUGUGGGUGAAUUAAGGGAUUUCUUGCAUUUUUGUAAGCAGCUAGCUAUUCUGUGAAGAGAUGUUGUAUUAAAUAUGUGUUUCACUGUAGGUUUCCAAUGCAAGAUCUUGAGAACAUGCAGAGCCUUAUGCUUUCCAAGCAAAUAAUAAUAAUCUUUAGCUCCAUUUUAUUGUUUAUCAGAACCAGCUUAUGGCUUUGUCUCAGAACAAUUCUGAAAACACAAUUCAAAGCUUUGAAUGGUUAAUUUACAGUGGACUGAAGCUUCACAUAUCUGACGAAUGCAGGGUAAGAAGUGCUCAGAGUAUAGCUAUUCUCUUCCGUAAGGGCUCUACAGACAUAUCCAGAUCUACCACAUAGGAACAAAUAUUGUUUGAAAGCAUCAAUACUUUACAAAGGAGGCAUCUGUCAGCAUUAACACUGAUUGUAAGACGCUAAAACUUUAGGAGUCACACUAUCUCAGCAGAUACAACCUUUCUAUUACCAUACCACUAUAGAAUACAAUUUUGAAUUCAUACACUAUACCGCUAUGCCAGGCCCCACUUGAGAUCUUCAUUCUUCCCGGAAAAAAUCUUAGUGUUUCCAGAGCACUUAGCUAUUUGUUUGCCAAAUAGCAUUGUCUCAUUCUUUGAUUAGUAUUAUUGUUCUGAAGAAACAUAUAAUAUGGGAAACUGUAAUUGUUUUCAUAGAAUGAUUCACUUCUCUGUGCAGAAAUUAUGUUGUGUCCUAUUGGUAACUGUGUGCAUCACAUCCUUCAAACACCAGAAGGAUAUUGUCUCUGUAGUAACUGCAUGAUUGUUGUUAAUUGCUGUUUUCCUGCAGUUACAACUAUAGCAAUUGCAAUUGCUUAACGUGCAAAAGCAUUACUGGGGAAGAAUGCAGUUUACAUUUAUCUUCAUUAAUAGAAUCCAGUAUUUGGAAAUGAGGAGCAACCAUCAUGCUGUGUUCAUUUGUUCCUUUGGGGCGUAUGAACAUCUGCUUACUAUGCUGUCCUAUAGAGACAAUUAUUCCACCAUCACAAUUUCCAUGAUGUUAUGUGGCAGAAAAAUGCAGCACGUAAGAUGUUUGAAGUUAUUUAAUCUUUCCAUUCUUCGAGGAAGAAGUCUGGUACCCAGAAUUCAGUUAUGACUUCAGAAGGAACAAUUGUCUCUGUGUGCCUAAUUGACUACUUUUAACAUGCUUCUGAAAGGUAUGAAUAGGAUAACAUACAAUACGUAAAGAUAACAGCAGAGAAUAUCAGGGGUC